UACAGAGGGUGCAAGCGUUAAUCGGAAUUACUGGGCGUAAAGCGCGCGUAGGCGGGAGGCCAAGUCCGCUGUGAAAUCGCCCGGCUCAACUGGGCGCGGUCGGUGGAAACUGGUCACCUGGAGGACGGUAGAGGCGAGUGGAAUUCCCGGUGUAGUGGUGAAAUGCGUAGAGAUCGGGAGGAACACCAGUGGCGAAGGCGGCUCGCUGGGCCGGCCCUGACGCUGAGGCGCGAAGGCGUGGGGAGCGAACGGG
This 253-nucleotide ribosomal RNA is filed under the name uncultured bacterium. Its description in RNAcentral is "partial 16S ribosomal RNA". It matches the Rfam family "Bacterial small subunit ribosomal RNA", at positions 524 to 776 of the family's 1533-position model. The record is from RNAcentral.